GCUUUUAAAGGAAAACAGCUAUUCCCCUGGUCUUAGGCUCCAGUACCUCUUGGUGCAAAUCCAAGUAAAAGCU
This 73-nucleotide transfer RNA is filed under the name Microhyla taraiensis. RNAcentral's name for it is "tRNA-Leu". The record is from RNAcentral. Lineage: Eukaryota; Metazoa; Chordata; Amphibia; Anura; Microhylidae.